Molecule: ribosomal RNA, 253 nt
Filed under: uncultured bacterium
Lineage: Bacteria
Description: partial 16S ribosomal RNA
Rfam family: Bacterial small subunit ribosomal RNA
Source: RNAcentral
UACGGAGGGUGCGAGCGUUAUUCGGAAUUACUGGGCGUAAAGCGCGCGUAGGCGGUCAGGCAAGUCGGGUGUGAAAGCCCUGGGCUCAACCUGGGAAUUGCAUUCGAAACUAUCUGACUCGAGUAUGGGAGAGGGAAGCGGAAUUUCCGGUGUAGCGGUGAAAUGCGUAGAUAUCGGAAGGAACACCAGUGGCGAAGGCGGCUUCCUGGACUAAUACUGACGCUGAGGUGCGAAAGCGUGGGGAGCAAACAGG